Molecule: ribosomal RNA, 2086 nt
Filed under: human gut metagenome
Description: bacterial LSU rRNA
Rfam family: Bacterial large subunit ribosomal RNA
Source: RNAcentral
GGUGUGGAUAGGGGAGAAAUUCCAAUCGAACCCGGAGAUAGCUGGUUCUCCUCGAAAUAGCUUUAGGGCUAGCCUCGAUACAGAUUUGCGGAGGUAGAGCACUGAAUUUCCUAGGGGGCGUCAAAGCCUACCGAAGAAUAUCAAACUCCGAAUGCCGCGUAAUCGAUUAUCGGGAGUCAGACUGCACGAGAUAAGUUGGGCGGUCAAAAGGGAAAGAGCCCAGACCUUCAGUUAAGGUCCCAAAGUGCGCGUUAAGUGGAAAAGGAUGUGGGAUUUCGAAGACAACCAGGAUGUUGGCUCAGAAGCAGCCAUACAUUCAAAGAGUGCGUAAUAGCUCACUGGUCGAGAGGUCCUGCGCCGAAAAUGUCCGGGGCUGAAACGCGCCACCGAAACUAAGGAACCGAAAGGUUGGUAGAGGAGCAUUGCAUGCGGAACGAAGCAGUACCGAAAGGAGCUGUGGACUGCAUGGAAGAGAGAAUGCCGGAAUGAGUAGCGAGAUAGAGGUGGGAAUCCUCUAGGCCGAAUAUCCAAGGUUUCCAGAGUAAAGCUGAUCUGCUCUGGGUAAGUCGGGGCCUAAGGCGAGGACGAGAGUCGUAGCCGAUGGACAACAGGUGGAGAUUCCUGUACUGCGGUAUGACAGAACUGUGGGGACACGUAAGGAGAGCGGAAGCCGGGAAUGGAAAGCCCGGUGCAAGCGGGGUACCAGUCACUUUGGCAAAUCCGGGUGGCAAUGGGAAGCCGUGAUGCGGAGCGAAAUAAAGUAGCGAAGUCCGUGAGCCAUGCGUCAAGAAAAGCCGCUAUUGUUUAUACCGUACCCGUACCGUAAACCGACACAGGUGGAUGAGGAGAGAAUCCUAAGGCCGGCGGAAGAAGCAUUGUCAAGGAACUCGGCAAAAUGACCCCGUAACUUCGGGAGAAGGGGUGCCUGCGAGAGCAGGCCGCAGAGAAUAGGCUCAAGCAACUGUUUAGCAAAAACACAGGUCUAUGCGAAACCGAAAGGUGAGGUAUAUGGGCUGACGCCUGCCCGGUGCUGGAAGGUUAAGAGGAGAGGUUAGCGCAAGCGAAGCUUUGAAUUUAAGCCCCAGUAAACGGCGGCCGUAACUAUAACGGUCCUAAGGUAGCGAAAUUCCUUGUCGGGUAAGUUCCGACCCGCACGAAAGGCGUAAUGAUUUGAGCGCUGUCUCGACAAUGCAUCCGGUGAAAUUGAAGUACCAGUGAAGAUGCUGGUUACCUGCGCCAGGACGGAAAGACCCCAUGGAGCUUUACUCCAGUUUGGUACUGGGAUCCGGUAUUGCAUGUACAGGAUAGGUGGGAGGCUAUGAAUCGGUAACGCCAGUUGCCGAGGAGCCGCUGUUGGGAUACCACCCUUGCAGUAUUGGGUUUCUAACCAGCCGCCGUGACCCGGCGGUGGGACAAUGCCAGACGGGGAGUUUGACUGGGGCGGUCGCCUCCGAAAGGGUAUCGGAGGCGCCCAAAGGUUCCCUCAGAAUGGACGGAAACCAUUCGAAGAGUGCAAAGGCAGAAGGGAGCUUGACUGCGACACCGACGGGUGGAGCAGGUACGAAAGUAGGACUUAGUGAUCCGGUGGUAUAAAGUGGGAUUGCCAUCGCUCAACGGAUAAAAGCUACCCUGGGGAUAACAGGCUUAUCACUCCCAAGAGUUCACAUCGACGGAGUGGUUUGGCACCUCGAUGUCGGCUCAUCGCAUCCUGGGGCUGUAGCAGGUCCCAAGGGUUGGGCUGUUCGCCCAUUAAAGCGGUACGCGAGCUGGGUUCAGAACGUCGUGAGACAGUUCGGUCCCUAUCCGGCGUGGGCGUAGGAUAUCUGAGAGGAGCUGUCCUUAGUACGAGAGGACCGGGAUGGACGGGCCGCUGGUGCAUCGGUUAGACUGCCAAGUCUACGGCCGAGUAGCCAAGCCCGGAAGGGAUAAACGCUGAAGGCAUCUAAGCGUGAAGCCCCCCUUAAGAUGAGAUAUCCCAUUCGUUAAGAAGUAAACCCCCUUGAAGACGACGAGGUAGAUAGGGCAGAGGUGGAAGUGCAGUAAUGCAUGGAGCUGACUGUUACUAAUCGGGUGAGGGCUUGACCAA